Molecule: ribosomal RNA, 247 nt
Filed under: uncultured bacterium
Lineage: Bacteria
Description: partial 16S ribosomal RNA
Rfam family: Bacterial small subunit ribosomal RNA
Source: RNAcentral
UACAGAGACUGCAAGCGUUAUUCGGAUUCACUGGGCGUAAAGGGUGCGCAGGCGGUUGGGUGUGUCAGAUGUGAAAUCCCGAGGCUUAACCUCGGAACUGCGUCUGAAACUACUCGACUAGAGUACUGGAGAGGGAAACGGAAUUCACGGUGUAGCAGUGAAAUGCGUAGAUAUCGUGAGGAACACCAGAGGCGAAGGCGGUUUUUCCUGGACAGUUACUGACGCUCAGGCACGAAAGCAUGGGGGA